CGGGCUUGGCGGCUGUGGUGGGGUUGCAGGGCUUGGCGGCGACGGCAGCGAAGGUGACGGCUGUGGGCUGGGUGGCUGCAGCGGCAGUCCUGGGCUAGGUGGUGAAGGCUCUGGCGACGGUGGCUGCGGGCUCGGCGGCUGUGGUGGGGUUGCAGGGCUUGGCGGCGGCGGCAGCGCCGGUGUUGGCUGUGGUCUGGGUGGCUGCAGCGGCAGUCCUGGGCUAGGUGGUGAAGGCUCUGGCGACGGUGGCUGCGGGCUCGGCGGCUGUGGUGGGGUUGCAGGGCUUGGCGGCGACGGCAGCGACGGUGACGGCUGUGGGCUGGGUGGCUGCAGCGGCAGUCCUGAGCUAGGUGGUGAAGGCUCUGGCGACGGUGGCUGCGGGCUCGGCGGCUGUGGUGGGGUUGCAGGGCUUGGCGGCGACGGCAGCGCCGGUGUUGGCUGUGGGCUGGGUGGCUGCAGCGGCAGUCCUGGGCUAGGUGGUGAAGGCUCUGGCGACGGUGGCUGCGGGCUCGGCGGCUGUGGUGGGGUUGCAGGGCUUGGCGGCGACGGCAGCGACGGUGACGGCUGUGGGCUGGGUGGCUGCAGCGGCAGUCCUGGGCUAGGUGGUGAAGGCUCUGGCGACGGUGGCUGCGGGCUCGGCGGCUGUGGUGGGGUUGCAGGGCUUGGCGGCGACGGCAACGCCGGUGACGGCUGUGGGCUGGGUGGCUGCAGCGGCAGUCCUGGGCUAGGUGGUGAAGGCUCUGGCGACGGUGGCUGCGGGCUCGGCGGCUGUGGUGGGGUUGCAGGGCUUGGCGGCGACGGCAGCGACGGUGUUGGCUGUGGGCUGGGUGGCUGCAGCGGCUGUCCUGGGCUAGGUGGUGAAGGCUCUGGCGACGGUGGCUGCGGGCUCGGCGGCUGUGGUGGGGUUGCAGGGCUUGGCGGCGACGGCAGCGACGGUGACGGCUGUGGGCUGGGUGGCUGCAGCGGCUGUCCUGGGCUAGGUGGUGAAGGCUCUGGCGACGGUGGCUGCGGGCUCGGCGGCUGUGGUGGGGUUGCAGGGCUUGGCGGCGACGGCAGCGACGGUGACGGCUGUGGGCUGGGUGGCUGCAGCGGCUGUCCUGGGCUAGGUGGUGAAGGCUCUGGCGACGGUGGCUGCGGGCUCGGCGGCUGUGGUGGGGUUGCAGGGCUUGGCGGCGACGGCACCGACGGUGUUGGCUGUGGGCUGGGUGGCUGCAGCGGCAGUCCUGGGCUAGGUGGUGAAGGCUCUGGCGACGGUGGCUGCGGGCUCGGCGGCUGUGGUGGGGUUGCAGGGCUUGGCGGCGGCGGCAGCGACGGUGACGGCUGUGGGCUGGGUGGCUGCAGCGGCAGUCCUGGGCUAGGUGGUGAAGGCUCUGGCGACGGUGGCUGCGGCAGGGCUUGGCGGCGAUGGCAGGCGUUGACGGCUGUGGGCUGGGUGGCUGCAGCGGCAGUCCUGGGCUAGGUGGUGAAGGCUCUGGCGACGGUGGCUGCGGGCUCGGCGGCUGUGGUGGGGUUGCAGGGCUUGGCGGCGGCGGCAGCGACGGUGUUCGGCUGUGGGCUGGGUGGCUGCAGCGGCAGUCCUGGGCUAGGUGGUGAAGGCUCUGGCGACGGUGGCUGCGGGCUCGGCGGCUGUGGUGGGGUUGCAGGGCUUGGCGGCGGCGGCAGCGACGGUGUUGGCUGUGGGCUGGGUGGCUGCAGCGGCAGUCCUGGGCUAGGUGGUGAAGGCUCUGGCGACGGUGGCUGCGGGCUCGGCGGCUGUGGUGGGGUUGCAGGGCUUGGCGGCGACGGCAGCGCCGGUGUUGGCUGUGGGCUGGGUGGCUGCAGCGGCAGUCCUGGGCUAGGUGGUGAAGGCGCUGGCGACGGUGGCUGCGGGCUCGGCGGCUGUGGUGGGGUUGCAGGGCUUGGCGGCGACGGCAGCGCCGGUGUUGGCUGUGGGCUGGGUGGCUGCAGCGGCAGUCCUGGGCUAGGUGGUGAAGGCUCUGGCGACGGUGGCUGCGGGCUCGGCGGCUGUGGUGGGGUUGCAGGGCUUGGCGGCGACGGCAAGCGACGGUGACGGCUGUGGGCUGGGUGGCUGCAGCGGCAGUCCUGGGCUAGGUGGUGAAGGCUCUGGCGACGGUGGCUGCGGGCUCGGCGGCUGUGGUGGGGUUGCAGGGCUUGGCGGCGACGGCAGCGCCGGUGUUGGCUGUGGGCUGGGUGGCUGCAGCGGCAGUCCUGGGCUAGGUGGUGAAGGCUCUGGCGACGGUGGCUGCGGGCUCGGCGGCUGUGGUGGGGUUGCAGGGCUUGGCGGCGACGGCAACGCCGGUGUUGGCUGUGGACUGGGUGGCUGCAGCGGCAGUCCUGGGCUAGGUGGUGAAGGCGCUGGCGACGGUGGCUGCGGGCUCGGCGGCUGUGGUGGGGUUGCAGGGCUUGGCGGCGACGGCAGCGCCGGUGUUGGCUGUGGGCUGGGUGGCUGCAGCGGCAGUCCUGGGCUAGGUGGUGAAGGCGCUGGCGACGGUGGCUGCGGGCUCGGCGGCUGUGGUGGGGUUGCAGGGCUUGGCGGCGACGGCAGCGACGGUGACGGCUGUGGGCUGGGUGGCUGCAGCGGCAGUCCUGGGCUAGGUGGUGAAGGCUCUGGCGACGGUGGCUGCGGGCUCGGCGGCUGUGGUGGG
This 2645-nucleotide long non-coding RNA is filed under the name Volvox carteri. Its description in RNAcentral is "long non-coding RNA (VCAR_LNC002989)". The record is from RNAcentral. Lineage: Eukaryota; Viridiplantae; Chlorophyta; Chlorophyceae; Chlamydomonadales; Volvocaceae.